RNAcentral lists this small RNA (779 nucleotides) under Cryptococcus neoformans H99. Its description in RNAcentral is "Cryptococcus neoformans var. grubii H99 hypothetical RNA". Lineage: Eukaryota; Fungi; Basidiomycota; Tremellomycetes; Tremellales; Cryptococcaceae. The record is from RNAcentral.
GCACAACCACAUCCAUGCCAUGUACAAGCACACUGCCGCUCCUACACCGAACAACAUGAGCUCGCAGCUCACUCCCUCUGUCACCGCUCCCCGGUAAAUGCAGGCUUUCGAUGCUGUCUUUCUCUCUUCUUAUUUUGCCGCCGAGAUCUCUGCCGCCGGCUCUGGCAAUUAUUAUUGCCUCCCAAGCACGAAUUUAGCCCUUGCAAGAUCUUCUUCCUCGGCUAAAUUUUAAAUCCAUUUUUUGCAAUACGUCGUCUACUUACACUUGCUCUUGCUCUUGCUCUUGCUCAGACGCAUGCGGAUAUGGAUGCGCAGGGCGACGGGCAAGAUCGGCGUCGAGAUCGAGGUCAAUACCAGGAAACGGGGCGUGCAAAGCGGAUCGGCCUUGAAUAGUCAUCGCUCGUAUCCUUGCGGAAAGGUCAUCUAUCUUGAUACACAUCUCACCACCCUCUUCUUCCCCUUUGCUUUCUUGGUCCCCGACUUUUGCGGUCACUCUCUCCUCCACCUCCACUUCCACCUCCACCUCUUUCAUCUUUCCCGCUUUAUCCUCCACUUUAUCUUCCUCUGUAAACACAUCAGACGAAAAUGAUAGGUUCUUUCUGAUAACCAAGUGAUCUCGAGGCGAUGUAUGUGAUGCGGAUAGUGCGUUGGUAAGAUUCGGUGAAAAAUCGCACUCGGAAAGAACAUCAAAAUUGCUGUGUUGAAAUAGGCGAGAUGUACAAGUACUUGUAUAUCCCAUUGUAGUCGAGGGUAUAAGUAUCUGUUAUGUAUAACACCAU